AGCAGGUUGAGGGUACAAGUGGAGACCCACCGAAGGAAAAACCAAUUCCUCCUCAGAGAAAAACAGAAGCAAAACAAACAAAAAAACAGGACUGGAGAAUAGUUGGUUACUGUUAUUUAUACCCAGACAGGGGCUUCCCAGCCCUUUACAGCUGCCAGUAAAGGGUAUUCAAGCUUUGCGUACAGCUCUGAGCUGACCUUGAGGCCCUGUAAGGGGAAAAAUCGCUGGAGAAAAUCGCGGUCGUGCAGUGCUUUGAGAUCCUCUGAUGAGAAAGCAGGAGAGCUGUGAAGUGACCUUGUUUCGUAGAUUUCUACUCGACACCGGCAUACUGAGGGACUUUAUAGUGGGAAUAGAGUCAGUUCCCCCUCAAAUCCUACGCCGUGGAGAAGGCCUGGAGAAGCAGACAGCUGGGCUGUACAGAUUGGGAGCUGAGUUCAGUCACAUAAUCUACCAACAUCGGACAGGAGGGAAGAAUAAAAGCUGAUGUUUGUGUUGAUUUCAAGAGGGGAUUAGCAGAUUUUCUUGGCACUAGCAGGGGUUUUGCUAGAAUAGAGCAAAGGGUCAUGGGCAGCAUGAUGUAUGAGUGAGCAGAUGGGGCUGUCCUCCCACACGGUGCCCUGUGAAGGGGUGGAAACCUUCAGGCCAUGGUGAAUGGGGCUUCAGGUUCAGGAGUCUCAGG
Long non-coding RNA from Nycticebus coucang (slow loris), 679 nucleotides. RefSeq lists it as uncharacterized. The transcript is spliced from 3 exons. The record is from RefSeq and is a predicted model, not a curated record. NCBI's taxonomy places the organism in Eukaryota, Metazoa, Chordata, Mammalia, Primates, Lorisidae.